Rhinopithecus roxellana (golden snub-nosed monkey) is the source of this 614-nucleotide long non-coding RNA. RefSeq lists it as uncharacterized. NCBI's taxonomy places the organism in Eukaryota, Metazoa, Chordata, Mammalia, Primates, Cercopithecidae. The transcript is spliced from 3 exons. The record is from RefSeq and is a predicted model, not a curated record.
UCCCAACUUACUCUGCAGCCAGGAUGGGCUCAGCCCUCCCCAUGCUGACAUCCCCUGGGGUCUGUCCUAAGGGUUUGGACCUGGUCAGGCCCCUCUGUGUAGAGGAAGGAUGGACAGUGGCCAGAGAGUCCGUCUGGGGGGGACGUUGCUCACACCUGAGAGGGCAGAUACAGCAAGAAAGCAGGCAUCUGCAAGAAAGCCCUCACCAGGACUAAAUCAGCUGACACCUCCAUCUUGGACUUCCCAGCUUCCAGAACUGUGAGAUAUAGAUUUCUAUUGCUUAAGUCACCAAGGCUAUGGUGUUUUUAAUAGCAGCCCAAGCCCAGGAAUACAUCAUCUGACUCACUGCUUUGAAUGAAGCUCUUCAGUUUCUCCAUCAACUUAGCUGGCAGCUCCUGUCCUCAGCAGCAUCAGAAGCCCCAACAAAAGAGCUCCAGGAGGGGCUCAACCUGCACGGGGGGCAGCCUCAAUGUCAGGUCCUGGAUGGCAGGGGCAGUCUGAUGGAAUGGGCGCUGUCCAGGUUCCUGCCCUCUCUGGAAGCUUGAUAAUGAGGAACCCUGAUGUGUCACUACGGAGGAGGCUGUGGGAAAAAGCUGUUUCUCAGGGCUGCCUGG